UAGUGUAAUCACUUGUCUUUUAUAUAAAGACUGGAAUGMAUGGCUAAACUAGUGCUUUAUCUGUCUCUUACGGGUAAAUCAGUGAAAUUGAUCUCCUCGUGCAAAAGCGAGAAUAAUAACAUAAGACGAGAAGACCCUGUGGAACUUCAAAUAUCAGCUAAAGACCAAUAAACCAACAAACCAAUAGAACCACCAACCACAAUCCCUACUUAGCCUUAUUUUCGGUUGGGGUGACCUCGGGGAAUAACAAAACCCCCGAAAACAUACACCAAGAAUAACAAGCCAAAGUAGCCUACGGCUUUAACRGAUCCAAUACAUUUGAUUAAUGAACCAAGCUACCCCAGGGAUAACAGCGCAAUCCCCUCUUAGAGUCCCUAUCAACGACGGGGGUUUACGACCUCGAUGUUGGAUCAGGACAUCCUAAUGGUG
Molecule: ribosomal RNA, 429 nt
Filed under: Acanthochelys spixii (black spine-necked swamp turtle)
Lineage: Eukaryota; Metazoa; Chordata; Testudines; Chelidae
Description: partial 16S ribosomal RNA
Rfam family: Bacterial large subunit ribosomal RNA
Source: RNAcentral